Cucurbita pepo subsp. pepo (vegetable marrow) is the source of this 594-nucleotide non-coding RNA. NCBI's taxonomy places the organism in Eukaryota, Viridiplantae, Streptophyta, Magnoliopsida, Cucurbitales, Cucurbitaceae. The record is from RefSeq and is a predicted model, not a curated record.
GUGCCCUAACCAGCCGCCGUUGCAGAGCCCUCAUAAGCUCACUCCCUCCAUGAAAUCCCUCCAUGGCGCUGGUAUUCAAAUCAAUCGGCUCCGCAAGAUGCUUCAUCGAGGUUUCAGUCUCUUACCUUUUUAAGAUUUCGCAAUUAGUUCAUCGCAUUCGGUUUCGCAUUCUAAACUGAUGAAGGAUAUGAUGUUGAAUCUGUAAAAUGUCUGAGAAGUAACAUUUCGCAUUUAGUUUCGCAUUAUAAACUGAUGAAGGAUAUGAUGUUGAAUCUGUAAAAGGUCUGAGAAGUAACAUUUCGCAAGUAGUUCAUGAUAUUUCGCAUUUAAUUUCGCACUAUGAACUGAUGAAGGAUAUGAUGUUGAAUUUGUAAAAGGUCUGAGAAGGAAAGUUGUGUUGGUAGAGACGAUGUUUGAGGUUUGAGGAAAGGGAAUAUUAAUGGUAGAGGGCCCCUGUCCAUGUGAGAGUCAUCGCAUUGUGACUUUCGCAACCUCUUCUAUAGAAAUUGUGUUGAAAUUGCAACGGGUUUGAACAAAAGGCGUGGGUUGCAUUCUAGCAUUGGAUGCUAACCUAGACUUCGCCCGACACUUUUC